CCUACGGGAGGCAGCAGUGAGGAAUAUUGGUCAAUGGACGAGAGUCUGAACCAGCCAAGUAGCGUGAAGGAUGACUGCCCUAUGGGUUGUAAACUUCUUUUAUAUGGGAAUAAACUGUUUCACGUGUGGGAUUUUGUAUGUACCAUAUGAAUAAGUAUCGGCUAACUCCGUGCCAGCAGCCGCGGUAAUACGGAGGAUCCGAGCGUUAUCCGGAUUUAUUGGGUUUAAAGGGAGCGUAGGUGGAUUGUUAAGUCAGUUGUGAAAGUUUGCGGCUCAACCGUAAAAUUGCAGUUGAAACUGGCAGGCUUGAGUACAGUAGAGGUGGGCGGAAGUCGUGGUGUAGCGGUGAAAUGCUUAGAUAUGACGAAGAACUCCGAUUGCGAAGGCAGCUCACUGGACCGCAACUGACACUGAGGCUCGAAAGUGUGGGUAUCAAACAGGAUUAGAUACCCGGGUAGUC
RNAcentral lists this ribosomal RNA (460 nucleotides) under uncultured bacterium. Its description in RNAcentral is "partial 16S ribosomal RNA". It matches the Rfam family "Bacterial small subunit ribosomal RNA", at positions 338 to 795 of the family's 1533-position model. The record is from RNAcentral.